UAGGGAAUAUUGGACAAUGGGGGGAACCCUGAUCCAGCCAUGCCGCGUGGAGGAAGACUGCCCUCUGGGUUGUAAACUCCUUUUAUAUGGGAAGAACCGUCCUCAUUGAUGAGUGACCUGACGGUACCAUAGGAAUAAGCACCGGCUAACUCCGUGCCAGCAGCCGCGGUAAUACGGAGGGUGCAAGCGUUAUCCGGAUUCACUGGGUUUAAAGGGUGCGUAGGCGGAUAUGUAAGUCAGUGGUGAAAUCAACGGGCUCAACCUGUUAACUGCCAUUGAUACUGUGUAUCUUGAAUAUGAGAGAGGUAGGCGGAAUGUUGAAUGUAGCGGUGAAAUGCUUAGAUAUGCUACGGAACACCGAUUGCGAAGGCAGCUUACUAUUUCGUAAUUGACGCUGAGGCACGAAAGCGUGGGUAGCGAAC
Molecule: ribosomal RNA, 422 nt
Filed under: uncultured bacterium
Lineage: Bacteria
Description: bacterial SSU rRNA
Rfam family: Bacterial small subunit ribosomal RNA
Source: RNAcentral